AUGCGAAUAAUUCUCGCCUGUUGGGUCUGUUUUGUGAUCUAAUCAGGGCUAGACAUUCGCUAGAGAAAAACCUUCAGAGUGUCCACAGAUGAGGUUUUGUACUUCUGUCUGUUUUCCUUUACUGUUGGUGACAGCU
Small nucleolar RNA from Polypterus senegalus (gray bichir), 136 nucleotides. RefSeq annotates it as small nucleolar RNA SNORA72. The transcript has a single exon. The record is from RefSeq and is a predicted model, not a curated record. Lineage: Eukaryota; Metazoa; Chordata; Cladistia; Polypteriformes; Polypteridae.